AAUAACAACAAUGACUAAAUUAACAGAGUAGUGAUAGUCAA
RNAcentral lists this non-coding RNA (41 nucleotides) under Trypanosoma brucei brucei. Lineage: Eukaryota; Euglenozoa; Kinetoplastea; Trypanosomatida; Trypanosomatidae. The record is from RNAcentral.